RNAcentral lists this transfer RNA (77 nucleotides) under Minisyncoccota bacterium. RNAcentral's name for it is "tRNA-Trp". It matches the Rfam family "tRNA". Rfam says of the family: Transfer RNA (tRNA) molecules are approximately 80 nucleotides in length. Their secondary structure includes four short double-helical elements and three loops (D, anti-codon, and T loops). Further hydrogen bonds mediate the characteristic L-shaped molecular structure. tRNAs have two regions of fundamental functional importance: the anti-codon, which is responsible for specific mRNA codon recognition, and the 3' end, to which the tRNAs corresponding amino acid is attached (by aminoacyl-tRNA synthetases). tRNAs cope with the degeneracy of the genetic code in two manners: having more than one tRNA (with a specific anti-codon) for a particular amino acid; and 'wobble' base-pairing, i.e. permitting non-standard base-pairing at the 3rd anti-codon position. Lineage: Bacteria; Bacillati; Minisyncoccota. The record is from RNAcentral. RNAcentral also lists the same sequence under 3 other names.
AGGGCAGUAGCUCAACUGGCCAGAGUUCCGGUCUCCAAAACCGGCGGUUGGGGGUUCAAGUCCCUCCUGCCCUGCCA